GGGGAUAUAGCUCAGUGGUAGAGCGCUUGCCUAGCAAGCGCAAGGCCCUGGGUUCAGUCCCCAGCUCCG
Molecule: transfer RNA, 69 nt
Filed under: Rattus norvegicus (Norway rat)
Lineage: Eukaryota; Metazoa; Chordata; Mammalia; Rodentia; Muridae
Rfam family: tRNA
About the family: Transfer RNA (tRNA) molecules are approximately 80 nucleotides in length. Their secondary structure includes four short double-helical elements and three loops (D, anti-codon, and T loops).
Source: Rfam by way of RNAcentral